RNAcentral lists this ribosomal RNA (320 nucleotides) under uncultured eukaryote. Its description in RNAcentral is "partial 18S ribosomal RNA". It matches the Rfam family "Eukaryotic small subunit ribosomal RNA", at positions 1470 to 1796 of the family's 1831-position model. The record is from RNAcentral.
CCCCUAGAUGUUCUGGGCCGCACGCGCGCUACACUGAACAGUUCAACAAGUCUUAACCUUGGCCGAUAGGUCUGGGUAAUCUUUGAACGCUGUUCGUGAUUGGGAUAGACCUUUGCAAUUAUGGGUCUUCAACGAGGAAUUCCUAGUAAACGCAAGUCACCAGCUUGCAUUGAUUACGUCCCUGCCCUUUGUACACACCGCCCGUCGCACCUACCGAUUGAAUGGUCCGGUGAAAUCUCGGGACGGCGGCUUGGUCGCUUGCGUCCGACUGCUGAAACUUGAUUAAACCAUAUCAUUUAGAGGAAGGUGAANUCGUANCA